GGCCAUCGUCGUUCAGUCCGGCAAUAUGAGCCUCGGGGUUAACCUGCUGGCGGCGCUGGUCAAGCAGGUAGCGAAGUCGCUCGACGAGGAUUUCGACAUCGAGAUUCUUGAAAUGCACCACAGGCAGAAGAUCGAUGCCCCGUCGGGCACCGCCUAUCUGCUCGGUCAGGCGGCCGCCGAUGGCCGCGGCGUCAAUCUCGAUCAGCGGUCGGUGCGCGCGCGUGAUGGUCAUACCGGCGCGCGUAUUCCGGGCGACAUCGGAUUUGCGACCCUGCGCGGCGGCACCGCCACGGGUGAUCACACGGUGAUUUUCGCCGGGCCUUACGAACGCAUCGAACUGGCGCACAAGUCGGAGGAUCGCAUGAUCUUCGC
Molecule: unclassified non-coding RNA, 372 nt
Filed under: Hevea brasiliensis (rubber tree)
Lineage: Eukaryota; Viridiplantae; Streptophyta; Magnoliopsida; Malpighiales; Euphorbiaceae
Source: RNAcentral